Nycticebus coucang (slow loris) is the source of this 131-nucleotide small nucleolar RNA. RefSeq annotates it as small nucleolar RNA SNORA28. The record is from RefSeq and is a predicted model, not a curated record. NCBI's taxonomy places the organism in Eukaryota, Metazoa, Chordata, Mammalia, Primates, Lorisidae. The transcript has a single exon.
AAGUCAAGUUAAAUGUUAUUUAACUUGAAAAUAUGGUGUCUGACACAAUUUGAGCUUGCUAUAGCAAGAAAGUCUAACCUAUUCCGGUGUUCUCUCUUUGUGGGAUAAGCCAUUAUAUAGACUUUAACAGU